AAGGGCCUGGCGCACAUAAGGUGUGACCUUUUCAUUCCCGUUGUUAUGGAGGGCCACAUCUGCCAGAGCCUGGAGUCUGCGAAGGCCGGGACCCGGUUCCCCGGCCCACAGUGGGGGUGUGCAAACCCGAGAGAACUGGGAAGUGCCGUCAGAAGCGAUAACUGACGACGUCUAAUGUCUAUCUGACCGCAGUCGCUGAAACCUCUACAACUUAGUUGACCGUAACUGCCAGAGCCCUGCCCUGAAUUCCUGUCCUUACUCCCUCUUUAAGAUUGCGUACCCACUGCAGAGUGCUGAAGACGGGGUAGCCACGAGGUUGCAAAUUCGUGAAGAAUCAGCAUCAUGUUUGGCAGCUGAGUAUUGGAGCCAGGAGCCUGCCAUGAGGUUAUAUUCCCAGAGGAUGUCAGUCCCAAGGACCAGUAGCUGCCAUCAGUUUGGAUUCUGAAAACUAACUGGCAUCAACACUGGGUGUAGAAACAUGCUUGCCUUAUGUAUCAGAGGACAUGCUCAGCAGAUCCAAGAGAUAUAUUUGGCAACUUUUUCUAGAAAAGGCACAUUGGGUAUCAUUCAUUACAUUCUUGAGUUUUUUUGGGUUUUUUUUUUUUUUUUUGAGACAGUCUUGCUGUAUUGCCCAGGCUGGAGUGUGGUGGCACAAUCACAGCUCAUUGCAUCCUCAAUCACCCAGGCCUAAGCAAUCCUCCCACCUUGUAGCUGGGACUACAGCUCACAGCACACCUGGCUAAAAUUUUUUUUUUGUUGAGACGGAUUCUCUAUGUUGCCCAGGCUGGUCUCAGGCUCCUGGGCUCAGAUGGUCCUCCUGCCUCAGCUUCCAAAGGCACAGGCCAAGUUGUAGCUUUGUCCCUUGCCAUCAUGCCCAACAAGAGGUUCUAUACCUUUUAAUGAAUUGACUUUCAUAAAUUGGUUAUGUUGGUGGGCAAAGUUCUUUAAGCUGGAAAUUGUAAAUUCCUCCUGAAAUGUUUUUUCAUGCAGUUACCAUGAACUAAUACUACAAUAAAGGAUGGUCUUGGGUGUCAA
This 1035-nucleotide long non-coding RNA is filed under the name Homo sapiens (human). RNAcentral describes it as "HSALNT0388733". The stretch from base 115 to 188 matches the Rfam family "Small nucleolar RNA SNORD49". Lineage: Eukaryota; Metazoa; Chordata; Mammalia; Primates; Hominidae. The record is from RNAcentral.